This 65-nucleotide microRNA precursor is filed under the name Erinaceus europaeus (western European hedgehog). RNAcentral's name for it is "miRNA (ENSEEUG00000019441.1)". The record is from RNAcentral. Lineage: Eukaryota; Metazoa; Chordata; Mammalia; Eulipotyphla; Erinaceidae.
GUGUGUGUGUGUGUGUGUGUGUGUGUGUGUGUGCAUGCACGUGCACGCGUGUGCACUCGCACACA